Molecule: long non-coding RNA, 760 nt
Filed under: Heterocephalus glaber (naked mole-rat)
Lineage: Eukaryota; Metazoa; Chordata; Mammalia; Rodentia; Bathyergidae
Description: lncRNA (ENSHGLG00000048112.1)
Source: RNAcentral
GGAGGAUUCAGGCAAGAAGACUAAGGGCUGAAGCUCUGAGAUGAGGAAAGAGCAUCGGAAGAGAAAAUGCUCAAGGGGGAGUGGUCUGCACCUCCAACACCAGGGGAAACUCAGUCAAGCAAGUCCUGAGAAGCAGGCGCUGUACUGAGGCUCAAUGUCAGCCUGUGAGCAAUUUUACCGCUCAGAUCUGUGAGGAUAACGAGGUCUCCUUGGGGUUGGUGGAGCAGCUCUUACUGGGGAGCCAGAAGAAGUACGUGGAUCUGGACUGCAGCCCAGGAGCACUUGCUGGGGCAGCUUGGGAGAUGUCACCAGUAGUGACGGGAAGGACCCCUGGCUCUGUCCCAAAAGUCAAAGUGACUGUGAAGGGAGACGUCGUGAUGGAUUCAGGAUUGAGGCUGCCACACAGCACAACUAAAGACCCUCAGAAAAGAGGACUCCAGAGCUGCUGCAGGAAGUGGCCAGGACCAUGGGAUGAGUGCGCUGGAACUGAGGGGGAGGACUUUAAAGGGGAUUCAUGGCAAAGUGUCCUUUCCUGGAAUAAUUUUUAAAUUUUAAAAGAUGCAAUCAUUCAUAGUAGUUUUUGAUCAGAUCUUGUGAUUGCAGUAAGUCAGGCAGCCAGCUUUCCACUCUUCCCUUCCCUUCCUUCCUUUUUCAUCCUUUCUGUUCCUUCUUCAUGCUGCUAUUUCUGCUCUUGUAACUGCUUCUUCUCACAUAGUUAUUAUGAGACUCAGUAACUUUUAAGAGAAUAUUUUAAAUUUCA